UGCAGUCGAACGAGAUCUUCGGAUCUAGUGGCGGACGGGUUAGUAACGCGUGGGAACGUACCCUUCACUACGGAAUAGUCCCGGGAAACUGGGUUUAAUACCGUAUACGCCCUUCGGGGGAAAGAAUUUCGGUGAGGGAUCGGCCCGCGUUAGAUUAGUUAGUUGGUGGGGUAAUGGCCUACCAAGACUACGAUCUAUAGCUGGUUUGAGAGGAUGAUCAGCAACACUGGGACUGAGACACGGCCCAGACUCCUACGGGAGGCAGCAGUGGGGAAUCUUAGACAAUGGGGGCAACCCUGAUCUAGCGAUGCCGCGUGAGUGAUGAAGGCCUUAGGGUCGUAAAGCUCUUUCGCCUGUGAUGAUAAUGACAGUAGCAGGUAAAGAAACCCCGGCUAACUCCGUGCCAGCAGCCGCGGUAAUACGGAGGGGGUUAGCGUUGUUCGGAAUUACUGGGCGUAAAGCGCACGUAGGCGGAUUAGUCAGUCAGAGGUGAAAUCCCAGGGCUCAACCCUGGAACUGCCUUUGAUACUGCUAGUCUUGAGUUCGAGAGAGGUAAGUGGAAUUCCGAGUGUAGAGGUGAAAUUCGUAGAUAUUCGGAGGAACACCAGUGGCGAAGGCGGCUUACUGGCUCGAUACUGACGCUGAGGUGCGAAAGUGUGGGGAGCAAACAGGAUUAGAUACCCUGGUAGUCCACACCGUAAACGAUGAAUGCCAGUCGUCGGCAAGUAUACUUGUCGGUGACACACCUAACGGAUUAAGCAUUCCGCCUGGGGAGUACGGUC
This 782-nucleotide ribosomal RNA is filed under the name Celeribacter sp. Its description in RNAcentral is "bacterial SSU rRNA". It matches the Rfam family "Bacterial small subunit ribosomal RNA", at positions 56 to 887 of the family's 1533-position model. Lineage: Bacteria; Pseudomonadati; Pseudomonadota; Alphaproteobacteria; Rhodobacterales; Roseobacteraceae. The record is from RNAcentral.